RNAcentral lists this ribosomal RNA (335 nucleotides) under Thermoleophilia bacterium. RNAcentral describes it as "partial 23S ribosomal RNA". It matches the Rfam family "Bacterial large subunit ribosomal RNA", at positions 2592 to 2925 of the family's 2925-position model. Lineage: Bacteria; Bacillati; Actinomycetota; Thermoleophilia. The record is from RNAcentral.
AGCGGUACGCGAGCUGGGUUCAGAACGUCGUGAGACAGUUCGGUCCCUAUCUGCGGUGGGCGUUGGAGAUUUGAGAGGAGUCGUCCCUAGUACGAGAGGACCGGGAUGAACAGACCUCUGGUGUAUCAGUUGUCGUGCCAACGGCACUGCUGACUAGCUACGUCUGGACGGGAUAACCGCUGAAAGCAUCUAAGCGGGAAGCCCACCUCAAGAUGAGAUCUCCCACCCCUUUAAGGGGGUAAGGCUCCAGGUAGACCACCUGGUUGAUAGGCUGGAUGUGUAAGCGCAGUAAUGCGUUCAGCAGACCAGUACUAAUCCGCCGAGGGCUUGACCAA